Non-coding RNA from Rattus norvegicus (Norway rat), 2215 nucleotides. NCBI's taxonomy places the organism in Eukaryota, Metazoa, Chordata, Mammalia, Rodentia, Muridae. The record is from RefSeq and is a predicted model, not a curated record.
AAAUCCUUGCUCUGUGAAGCAUUUGUCCUAGUUGGAAAGACAGACUGAUCCAAAUAUCAAUUCAUGUAAAAAUAUACAGUAUUAUUAUGUAAAUACUGGAGGAAAAUGAUCAAACAGAAAAAAAGAGUAAGUUUUUAGGCAUGGCACUCAUGGAAGGGCUAAAUGGGCAGGACCUUCUAAAUGAGUGCCUAGAUCAGACAUAGCUAUGCUAUCUGGGGAAGAGCCUUGAAGACAAAGGGAUGAGCACUUGCAAAAGCCCUGAGGUAGGAUCAUGUCUGUCCAUUCAAGAAGCAGCAAAGAAUCUAGUGGAAUGGAACAGAAAGAAUGAAGGAGACAAAAGUAACACCAGCUGGUUAGUACGGGCCUUUUGGGCUGCAAACACACAUGGGGGACUCUGAGUUGAGGACUGACAUGAUCUCAUGUGUGCUUUGACAGGAUCACUCUGGCUGGGGGUGUGCAUUGACAGAAGAAAAUCCUUUGUGAGCUGGGGGUUUCUGGGUCCCCAUAUGUUGAAUCAGGAGCCUCCAUUAAGAUGAUGUGUAUACUUGAGGCUUCCCAGAGGUAAUUAUUAAGUCAUGAAUGUGAAUCCCUAUGAGUAAGAAGAAUAAGAAAAAAGAAAGAGGAUGUCUCUUUCUCUCUCUACCAUGGGAUUAAACAAAAAGAAGUUCAUCUUCUAACUGAAAGUGAGUCCCUGCUAGGAAAUGAAUCCACAGCACCUUAAUCUUGGACUUAAUUAGCCUCCAGAACUGAUAGAUUUACAUUGGCUAAACCACUGAUCUAUUAUACUUUAAUAGCACCUUAAACUGCUCAAAGAAUAAACUGGUACCAGGACGGGGGUCCUGAGGUAGUAUAUUUUACCACAGUAAGUCCAGAUGAAAGAUGAUAUUGUCUUGGGGGUAACAAAUGAGAAAUGGUUAAUAUUUAGUUUUAUUUGAAAAUAGCUGUGGUUGCAUUUGCUAAAUGGAGAAGAAUAUGAAAGAAAAGGAGAACCCUGGAUGACACCAAGAUAUUUCAUCUGGCAGCUAGAAGAAUGAAAUAAAAAUGUAAAAUGUCUGCUGGGCUUCUACAUGAAGAUGCCCAGAUUUGUGUGCCUUAUGUGCCUCACAAGAGAAGAGAUUCAAGCUGGAUAUGGAGUCACGGAAUCACCAGUAAUUAGAUCAUACUUAAGACACAGGAGGUUAAAUGGCACAGAAAUGAGAAGAGAGCUAAAGACGGAGGUAUGAGACAGCUCAAUAUUUAGAAGCCAAAAAAAGAAAAAAAGAAAAACAUAAAAAGAGAAAAGGAGAUAAACUAGCUGUGUGUAAUGUUCUGGAAAGCAAGAGAAGAGAGUGGUUCACAGAUCUCUGAUGAUGGAGAGACCAACCAGCCCUGUUUCAUCACUGGUGAUCUCACAAAGCAACUGAAGAUGGGUUCACAAAAACAUCUAAGAGCCCCAGUAAUCCAAGCUUUCAGGAAGAAGAGGAUGAAAGCUCAAUAGCAGCCUAGGCUACACAGGGAGAGUGUGGUGGUUUGAAUAUGCUUGGCCUAGAGAGUAGCGCUAUUAGGAGGUGUGGCCUUGUUGGAGGAAGUGUGUCACUGUGGGGAUGGGCUUUGAGAAACCCUCCUCCUAGCAGUCUGGAAGUCAGUCUCCUCCUUUCUGACUUUGGAUGAAGAUGUAGAGCUCUCAGCUCCUCCAGCCCUACAUCUGCCUGACACUGACAUGCUCCCACCUUGAUGAUAAUGGACUAAACCUCUGAAACUGUAUGUGAGAGAGGUCACAGAGAGGACAAUUUCAUGGAUUAUCCUGGUGGCCUCAGAGGACUCUUCAGUAAAACCACUAAUGACAGCCAGAGACUACUGGACCACCAACAACCACUGUUGUUUGAUAUAGUCACGACCGCAAAAGUCAUCACAUGGCCCGGAACUGGACAACAAAUGUUGCCAUGACCUGUGUGGCAGUCCACAAGAUGCCAAACAAAAGCUCCGGGACACUUAGUGACAGCCAGUGUUGUCAGUCACCAUACAACCAAGAUGGCUAAGCACUCCUGGGGAAAGAGCAGAAGUUGAAAGGGGGCUCUUAGGCAGGAUCACACCCGGCCAGCCUCAGAAGGGUCCCGUGUCACCACCACAGCUGCACUUCCCCCAUGAGGCCUCGAGGGGCGGAAGUGCCCUCAGAAGAGGUUUCAACCUUAGCAUACACAACCACCACUCAAUAAAAAUUAUAUUAGGAAAAUGA